GCGCUUGAUCCGGCUGUGAUGGCGCUCCUCCAGCAAGCGCCAAGUCAGAGCCCGCUGACACCUGGCUUGACCGUCAACAAUACGGGCAUCAUCCGGAGCCUGCAGCAGUUUCUAGGAGGACAAGGAGAUGGAGGACAAGGAGGUGGAGAAGGACAAGGAGGUGUAGACGGAAAUGGCGAAGGUUGAUGUUGGUUGUAUGAACUUUGUUGUUCUAUUUGGAUCAUUCUAUGUUGGAGACUUUGUUGUCGGAGACUUUGUUGUUGAACUAUUGUAUGGACUUUGUUGGACUAUUAUGUAUGAACUUUGUUGUUGAUGAUGUGCAAAUACUCUAUAUAUUAUGCUAUAUAUGGAUCUGGAUAUAUAUUUGUAUU
Molecule: long non-coding RNA, 371 nt
Organism: Lolium perenne
Lineage: Eukaryota; Viridiplantae; Streptophyta; Magnoliopsida; Poales; Poaceae
Source: RefSeq, a predicted model, not a curated record